RNAcentral lists this transfer RNA (74 nucleotides) under bacterium. RNAcentral describes it as "tRNA-Glu". It matches the Rfam family "tRNA". Rfam says of the family: Transfer RNA (tRNA) molecules are approximately 80 nucleotides in length. Their secondary structure includes four short double-helical elements and three loops (D, anti-codon, and T loops). The record is from RNAcentral.
GGCCCGUUAGUCAAGCGGUCGAAGACGCGUGACUUUCUCUCACGUAUACGCAGGUUCGAAUCCUGUACGGGUCG